This 820-nucleotide ribosomal RNA is filed under the name uncultured bacterium. RNAcentral's name for it is "bacterial SSU rRNA". It matches the Rfam family "Bacterial small subunit ribosomal RNA", at positions 8 to 795 of the family's 1533-position model. The record is from RNAcentral.
AGAGUUUGAUCCUGGCUCAGAAUGAACGCUGGCGGCGUGCCUAACACAUGCAAGUCGUACGAGAAUCACCCCUUCGGGGGUGAGAGUAAAGUGGCGCACGGGUGAGUAACGCGUGGGUAACCUACCCUUGGAUUUGGGAUAACUUCCCGAAAGGGAGGCUAAUACCGGAUAUGACCACAGGGGCUUCGGCUCCCGAGGUAAAAGGUGGCCUCUACAUGUAAGCUACUGNUCCGAGGAUGGGCCCGCGUGCUAUUANNGCUAGUUGGUAGGGUAACGGCCUACCAAGGCUUCGAUAGCUAGCUUGGUCUGAGAGGAUGAUCAGCCACACUGGAACUGGAACACGGUCCAGACUCCUACGGGGGAGGCAGCAGUGAGGAAUUUUGCGCAAUGGGGGAAACCCUGACCGCAGCAACGCCCGUGAGAGUGAAGAAGGCUUUCGGGUCGUAAAGCUCUGUCAAGCGGGAAGAACCCUCUCAAAGUUAAUAUCCUUGGGAGCUGACGGUACCGCUGGAGGAAGCACCGGCUAACUCCGUGCCAGCAGCCGCGGUAAUACGGAGGGUGCAAGCGUUAUUCGGAAUCAUUGGGUGUAAAGCGCGUGUAGGCGGCUUGGUAAGUCAGAUGUGAAAGCUCCGGGCUUAACCCGGAAAGUGCAUUUGAAACUGCCUAGCUUGAGUCCCGGAGAGGAAGGUGGAAUUCCCAGUGUAGAGGUGAAAUUCGUAGAUAUUGGGAGGAACAUCGGUGGCGAAGGCGACCUUCUGGACGGAGACUGACGCUGAGACGCGAAAGCGUGGGGAGCAAACAGGAUUAGAUACCUGUAGUC